AUGAUUUUUUGCUUCAAAACCGCCCAAACCGCACCGCGAACACCCCUAAAUUCAAGUCCAAUUUGGAGGGAAAGAAUACAUUUCAUUUUGAAAAAGAAGUCAUUACAUAUUUCUACAAGAUUCACAUUCCAUUACAAAGAUCCAAAUACAAUUGCCAUUACCAUCAAGAAAGUUACAAGAAAAAUUUACAUUUUGACUUAA
Non-coding RNA from Vicia faba (fava bean), 201 nucleotides. The record is from the annotation of a GenBank genome assembly. Lineage: Eukaryota; Viridiplantae; Streptophyta; Magnoliopsida; Fabales; Fabaceae.